Molecule: long non-coding RNA, 5839 nt
Filed under: Nicotiana tabacum (common tobacco)
Lineage: Eukaryota; Viridiplantae; Streptophyta; Magnoliopsida; Solanales; Solanaceae
Description: long non-coding RNA (NTAB_LNC004261)
Source: RNAcentral
AUCCCUAAUCCCAAACGAGCACUGUUCUUCUUCUCCCAGCGAAUCCAAGCCCCAUUCCAGCCCAAAUCCAUGGCGAGUGAACCCAAUCUCCAACCACGCGUUCCCUCCCUCUCUCCUCUUGCCAGAUUCUAACCGUCUCUAACAAAAUCCCUCUCCCUCACAUGCUCUUUUCAAUUUCAUUUCGGAUUUUCACCUUUUGGAUGAUAUAUGGAAAAAUGGGGGGCGUUAGAUUGGGUUGGAGUUAAUCUAAUCCUUCCAUUUGUCCCUCUCUCAUCAGAAACGGGGUGAAAAUCUGUUUGGGGAGAAAAUUUUUCGUUUUGGGGAUUUCUUGGAGAUAAAGGCAGAAGGUUCGAGAAGCUUGGAGAUAUAUAAGGUGAGGUCAUUUCUUGGGUAAGAGGGAUUUUCAGGGAGAUUUUUUUUAGUUUUCAGAAAUUAGAGAGAAAAUUAAAAAAAAAAUUGAAAAGCUCGGGUUCGAAAAGGUGUUCUGUUUUUCUGAUUUUCAUCCUUCUCCUUUAGUUUCAAAUUCAUAGAUACAUAUGUAAGAAAAGAUGUUGAGUGUGCUGGAUUUUUAUUUUUUUUUAUUUGGUGUUGAUUGCUGUUUAAAAGAGUGAUAGUAUAUAGAUGUUCAGAUCUUCUCUUCGUCUGAGUUUUCUGGAAAAAAUGGAACUCGUUUGAAAGGCUGUUGAGUUCACUGCUGUUCGCGGGUUCGAGUUCGAUUCGCUGUUGUCUUCUCGUUCAAAUUUUAGACUUGAGUCUCGCUCAGUUAAGUUAUUGUAAUUGCUGAGAUCCGAUUAAUUGAAAACUCUCAUUGAGGUCCGUUUCUGAUUCCCUCUUAUUCUUUUGGUGUGAUUUUAGUAUGAUAGGAGUUUGGCAUAAUCGAUUAGUAUAGAUUUAAAUGUGGUUUGCCUAGUACUGAGCUGAUUUUGUUUGCCACAGAUUUCUAAGAUGCUCUGUUCUCUUCUUGUGCUGGAACUUUGUUUUAGUUUCGAAUCUGAUUGUUUGUCGAAUGCGUUUGAUGAAAGUCAGAUUUGAUUUUUGGUCGUUCGAGUUAGUGAAACACGUCAUUUGCUGUUAGAAUCAGUUUGAUAAAGAAAUUUAUCACUGUUCAAAUGAUCCAUGGUUUAGUAAUGUGUUUUCUUGAACUUGUUGUAAGUGUUGGGAUUCAGUUUGUUGGUAUAAGCUCGAAACGAGUUCUAUAAGCCCUGUUUGAUGUGUUUCUUUCCUUUCAUCUUGUCAUUCUGCCGAAUAGGACCAUAUUCUGGAGGCUUCCGCUUUUCUGUUAGGAUAUGCUAGUAAUUUAACUAAAAUCAGUUUGAAUUCGUGUCAGCUUCGCGCUAGAUUUAUUUUUUUCUUGACGAUUCGAGUUUGAAACUAUCCUAAUUCAUUUGUUGAUCGAGAUCCAUGUGUGCUUCUUUGAUAUGGUUUGAGUUGCUUGUGACUUUCAUCUUUCAAGAUUCCAAAAGAUAAGCUAAAAAAACCACUGAUCUGAGUUCAAAGUUGCGAUUCCGGUUUGAGUUCGAAGGUUGAGGUUUCCCGUUUCUAUUUGGAGGUUCCGGCUGAGUUCUUUGUUGUGGAUUCAUCCAAUUUAUUUCAUUUUGUUUGCUGUAAUUUGCUUGGGAUUGCUGUUUUCUUGGAGCUUCUCCAUCACUGAUUCAUUUAUAGUCAGUAGUUGUGGCUCCAUUCGCAGAUACUAGCACACGCCUCUAAAUCUGCGUUCUUAUUUUUGAGAAGAUUGAAUCUCUCCUUUCUUCAAUGAACUCCUUACUAUUUGUUGAUUUUUGUUUGACUGAUUUUGUAUAGAGUCAAGUAACAUGUCCAAAUUUCAAUUUGUUUGUGAGAUCCAUUCGAGUUCGAGUCAUAUAGAGUUCGAAUCAAUUUGGUUGUGCAACUAUUAAUAUAGAAAUUGGGUUUUCACCUUCAAUCGCUCCUGUUUCUGAUUUCAUAGAUAGUACAGUAGUAAAUCAAUUUGAAUCAUACAAAUGGAAACUGUUUUCCUUAUGUUAUUCUAACAAGAUUGAGCAGCAGAUUGAGCCGAUAACGUUCAGUAUUUUGGGACAUUUGUUUUGACUGAUAGCCAACUGAAAAGCUGCCCUGUUUUGCACUAUUUAGGCAGCAGAUUUGCGCAGUUUUGAGCAACAGAUUCUGCACUGUUAGCCCUCGUUAUUGAAUCUGUCUUGGUUUAAUUGAAAUCUCUCAUGUGUGACCAUGUACGAAGGCUAUUCUAUUUUGUCAAGUCAUGGAUAGGUUUCUGUGAAUUCCAUUUCUGUUGUAGCAUGUUCAAUUUCCUUCUUAGAAGUGUGGUUGAUGAAUUGAUUCGCUCGUUGAAAUAGAUUCAUUACAGUAUAUUAGCUUUUAAUUCCCUGCAACAGUAGUGAUGGUUGACUACUGUUUAGUGAGGUAAGUAGUUAAUUGAAUAGAUCUUUAGUUAGUCGAGGUGUGCCAUCCGAAACAAUAAUAAGUUAUGGCCCUUCAAAAUUUAGUUUGAAUUCUCUUUGAAAAAAAUAGAAUUGGGGUGUGCCGUGCCAAACAAAAGUCUCAAUUGCAUGGCCCUCGUUUUAAUUAAUCUUGAAUUGAUCCUUAGAAUUCGAGGCGUGCCAUUUAGUAAAUUUCAUGGUCCUCGCAAAGUUACAAACGCGUAGUUGCUUUAGGCGCGUUAUUUUAAUAAUUGAUUUCCUUAAACUCGGGUGCGCAUUUAUGUGACCCAAAUCCAAAUCUUAACGUUAGAUAAAAUGUGCUGCGGACUGCGGGUGCGUUAUGUGACGCGGUUCAAAACAUAUUUUAAAUAACGUUGCAAUCUUCUUUAAAAAAUGAAUAAAAGCGGUUAAAGUUAAAAUUUGCACAUAGGUUCAAAAUGUUCUAAAAUCAGAUAAUUAAGCCAAAUAUAACAGUUGAGCGACCGUGCUAAAACCACGGAACUCGGGAAUGCCUAACACCUUCUCCCGGGUUAACAGAAUUCCUUACCCGGAUUUCUGGUUCGCGGACUGUUAAACAGAGUCGACCUUUCCUCGAUUCGGGAUUUGAACCGGUGACUUGGGACACCAUUAAAUAUCCUAAGUGGCGACUCUGAAUUUUAAUUGAAAUAAUCUCGUUUCGAUUGUCCUUUAAUUGGAAAAACUCCUUUAUACCCUUCCGGGGGUAGUAAAUCAUGUGCUGGGAGCACGUGAUUUUUGCCCUAUAUGAAUUACUCCCAUAAAUUCAAAACAAAAUAAUUUCUUUCAGUGUUUGCAAUUUCGUGGAUUUUCGUGACAUUUUCUGUUAAUUGUUUGCAUUUUUGUUUGUGCAUUUUAAUUAGUGAAAAAUACAAAAUAUAUGUGCAUGUGCAUUUAGGAGUUAAUUUUGUAUUUUAGGAAUUAAUUAGUCAUUAAUUUUUAUAAAAUGAAAAAGUCUCAAAAAUAGUUUAUUUUAAUUUUAAUUUUGAAUUUAGCGUAGUUUGUCCUUUAAUUUGGUUUAGUUAAUAAUAGUAGUUAGGAGUUAAUUGUUUUGUAAAUUGUUAUUUAGGUUUUUUAUUUUAAUUUUGAAAAAAAAAAGAGAAAAGGAAAAGGAAUUUUGGAUAAUUUGUCUUAAAAUGAAAAUGGAAUGAAUGAGACUAGAAAUUGGGUCAAAUUUUGGUUUAAAGUACUCGGCCCAAACGGAUUCCUCUCCCCAAGCCAAACAGAACCCGCCCCAUCUGAGCCAAAACCCGUUCCCCAAGCCGGCUAGCCCCCUCCCUUCCCAAACGGCGUAGUUAUGGGGCAAAACUACGUCGUUCACCCGUUAACCUCCAUUUAACGACUAACCCUUCCUCCUAUUUUCAUUAAUCCGCAUCUCCUGAGCCCAAAACCUAAUCCCCUCUCUGAAAUCACCGCCCCUUUCCACCAUAGCUCCGUCGUUCGGAAAUCGCCUCACGGCGGCGGAGCACUUCAAACCCAUCCAAAUUUCGACUAGACAACCCCCAUCGUCCCCUCUUUCAUGUCCUGCCACCAUUUUUUCCAAAAGACCACUGGAUUUUUUCGAAUUUCAGAUCAAAGAUUAAAAAUCCAAGCUUUCUUCUUUUUGCCUAAAAUUUUCGGAUUACAUCCUCAGUUCGUGUUAAAACCUGCAUGAAUUCCUCAGUUUUCAUCAAAAAGGGGGCCAUUUCAUGUCAAGAACGCAUUUUCCCUUGUUUCUGACCCGAUUUCAGACACUCAGCCUCAACGAUCCAAUUUCUUCAAGAUUCCGCCUCGUUCCUUUCCUGGCUCGUGAUGAGAAUUGCGGCACGAAUUAUUAGCUAUGAACAAAAGUUUUCCUAAUAUUCGUGUUACAAUUCUCGCCAUUUGGUCAAGCUUUUGAAUUCGCUGGAGUUUCGAUGUCGGGUCAGCCUCGUCUUUGAGGAUUCUGAUGUUUAAAAUAGAUUGUAUAGGUAUUUUCUGUUCCCUUGGUAUUUUUCUGCCUUGUUCUUUUUUUUUUGUUUCAAUCUUUAGUCAUCAUUUUCUUCUCCUUUUCUAUAGGAUUAAGUUAGAUAUGCUAGUUAAUAACUUAGUGUUAAUUUCAGGCUAAAGCAUUUUAAAAAAAGAAAAGAAAAGGAAUUUGAUUAAUUGUGUGUGUUGUCGCUGUCCUAAAUUGGACUUUUAAUUCCCUUGAGUUUUGUUUGUUUGGGCUGGGCUUGGGGUCUGUUGUUUACUAGCCCGUUGCUUGAAGGAAACAUGCCCGUUAGCCCAAGUUUAAAAUUGGUUUUGGGUCAAUCUGACCCUGCUUUGUCUUAAGAGUAAAUAACAGGGUUUGGGGGGAUAAUUUAGGUAAUUGGCUCAGGGAAUCUCUCACAUAACGGUUUGAGAAACUUCUAGGAAGAUGGGUGGGGGGUCUAAUGUGAUUUUCAGAUUUUUAAUAAGGAUAUCUAGACAAAAACAAAAAUUUGAAAAGGGCUAGAAUGCAAAAUCAAAAUUUGAAGUUUGCCCUAUUUACUUGCCUAUAAAGGCACCUUUUCUUGCUUUGGAAGGCAGACUUCAAGAGAAAAAAUUCUGAAAAUACUCACGGCUGAAACUUUGAAAUUGUUCCAUUGAUUUCUCGGUUUUGAGCGUUGAAGUUUUCAGUGAUUGAAACAUUUUCUGAUUCUUUCCAUGUUUAAGAUGACUUAAAUUUGGAUUUCUUAAAGUUUUGGGUUGGAUUCUGUUGGGUAGCUACUGUUCCAUUGGCUUUAAUUGGCCAUUUUUGUUGUUUUACUGAGUUUGGGUGUUGAAUCUUGUUGCUACUCUGCUGUUGUAGAUCACUGACCCCUUACAUUUUGAUUUCUUUUCAAUUUCCAGAUAUUGUUCAUUCCUUUGACCAAUGAAAUGAAGAAGCCAAGUAUUUGUUGGAAGUUGGAAAUACAUGAGCAUUAGUUUUCAGCAUAUGUUUUGUUUUCUACACUUCUGAAAAUCAUCCCAUUUCAGUUUUGAGAUCAUUUGCAGUGUUAAACGAAUCAUGUGCUCCAAAUUAUUAGUGAUUUGCGUGAAUCUUAAUGUUCAGAUUUGUAUAAAAGGACUCCAAAGGACUAUUAUAGUGUAACGUGGAUCAGAAUGCUUAAGCUUUUGGUUUUUUUUUUUUGCUUAUUAUCUGUUGAUAUCAACAUCAUUAGUAUGAGUUCCAUUUGAAGGGUGUAAUUCAGACUCUUAUUGUUUCUUAGAUUAACCUAUAAGAUUGAUAUUUACCAUUCACAUGUCUUGAGCAAAAAUGCCCAAAUAGCAUGAAACUGUCUGUUAAAGAACAGCUCCAGAAAUCUGAGUUAAGCAUAUGGUUACUCGAUACUUGUUUAAUUCUUAAUCUCCAAAUGUUUCUAUGUUCGUCCCUAUUGUAAUAGUUAAAACAGAAGGUAAAUGGGAAAUUUGUGUGCACGUUUCAUGGG